RNAcentral lists this transfer RNA (69 nucleotides) under Notophthalmus perstriatus (striped newt). RNAcentral's name for it is "tRNA-Gly". It matches the Rfam family "tRNA". From Rfam's summary of the family: Transfer RNA (tRNA) molecules are approximately 80 nucleotides in length. The record is from RNAcentral. Lineage: Eukaryota; Metazoa; Chordata; Amphibia; Caudata; Salamandridae.
GUCUUUUUAGUACAACAAGUAUAAAUGACUUCCAAUCAUUGGAUCUUAGUUAAACCCUAAGAAAAGACA